GAGGUCUGUGACAGGUAGGUUUGUAGGAACAUCAUCAGGUUGGUCGAGGUCUGUGACAGGUAGGUUUGUAGCUGGCACAAUGUACUUAACAUUUACCUUUCCUUCUGCUAUCCAGGCAGCAAUUACUCGUCUCAGAUAUUGGGAGAAUUGGUAGGAGUUUUGAGAUACAUGUUUGCAGUCUUAGUUGCAUCAGUGUGCCUUUAAUGGAAACAAAAAUACAAUGGAAUAAGGAACAUGGCUUUUAUACUGUACUGGUGGGGAAGACAAUUACUUGCAUGUGUGAAAGACCUGAAAGUGAUGGCAAUUUUUGGAUUUUGAUAAAGCAACAAUAUAUAUAUAUGAAAUUUUAUAUAUUGUACACAUAUUCAGUAAUUUUGUGAAAACUUGGUAUUCUUUCAGUUUUAAGAACUACAGUAUUGUCAAUUCAAUCUUAUAUACAGUAAGUUAGUGUUUAAAACUAGUAAUAAGUAUUGUUGAAUAUUUACCUUGC
Priapulus caudatus is the source of this 490-nucleotide long non-coding RNA. RefSeq lists it as uncharacterized. NCBI's taxonomy places the organism in Eukaryota, Metazoa, Priapulida, Priapulimorpha, Priapulimorphida, Priapulidae. The transcript has 3 exons. The record is from RefSeq and is a predicted model, not a curated record.